RNAcentral lists this transfer RNA (61 nucleotides) under Perna perna. RNAcentral describes it as "tRNA-Met". Lineage: Eukaryota; Metazoa; Mollusca; Bivalvia; Mytilida; Mytilidae. The record is from RNAcentral.
GUAGAAAAGUCUGUUAUGAUGUGGGACCUAUAACCCCAAGGCGGCAUUUUGCCUUCUACAA